UACGAAGGGGGAUAGCGAUGCUCGGAAUGACUGGGCGUAAAGGGCGCGUAGGCGGACUGCACAGUCAGGCGUGAAAUUCCUGGGCUUAACCUGAGGACUGCGUCUGAGACGUGUGAUCUAGAGUGAGGAAGAGGGUCGUGGAAUUUCCAGUGUAGAGGUGAAAUUCGUAGAUAGUGGAAAGAACACCGGUGGCGAAGGCGGCGACCUGGUCCUUGACUGACGCUGAGGCGCGAAAGCGUGGGGAGCAAAUAGG
RNAcentral lists this ribosomal RNA (253 nucleotides) under uncultured bacterium. RNAcentral describes it as "partial 16S ribosomal RNA". It matches the Rfam family "Bacterial small subunit ribosomal RNA", at positions 524 to 776 of the family's 1533-position model. The record is from RNAcentral.